UCCUUUCUUCAUGAGCCCCCACCCGCAUCUCCCUUGAGGUUGGUGCCGCCCUCUUUGGGGAAACCAGGAACUUCCGAUCCUUGUCCCAGGCCGCGGGCUACCCCACAGCAGGUGUCCCCACCCCAGGGCCAGGGACGGACGGCUGCGCUCAGGCCGCCUGCUGGGCUCUACUGCGCGGGGUCGUCUGCCCGAGGAAGGCUGCUUUCUGGGAGCUGCCCAACCUCUUCCUGCCGGGGCUGCGUCCCACGGGGGUCCCUUCCCUAGCCCCAGGGGCUGGAGGCAGCCCCGAGCCCUGUCCCAAGGAGAACCAGCUCUGCUCUAGCGGGGGGCCCAGGGCAGGGCUGGUGGUGCCCAGGGCCCUGUGCAAGAGGACGGCCGGAGCGCAGGAGCCUGCCCUUGGCUGACACGGACCCGUCCUGCACCAGGAUCUGCAAAUAAAAGGUUAGUUUAUUUUCUUUUUCCACCUAGACUUUUACUUCAUUUACUUAAAAAAAAAAGGUCCGCAUGUAGAUUAAGACAAAAGGAGCAGGAAGUGAGCCUCAAGUCCCACCACCUGGAAGCAGCUGCUGUUGAUAAUCCUUUUUCUUUUUUUCUUUUUAGGGCCACACUCGUGGCAUCGCCUUUGGGCAUCGUCUCCUCUGCAGGGGCCAUCGCCGUCCCAUCUUGCAGAGGGAAGCUCCAGGUUUCUCUUCCUGUGUCCUGCCUCUCCCGGAUGGCGCAUGGGGAGCCAUUUGACUGUAAGCUCCUUGCGGGCAGGCCGGGCACCGCGGUCUCCUUGGGAAGCGCUGGGCACGGUGAUUGGGCCUCGGCAGCCCGGCCUGCAGCAGUGACGUUAAACGGAGACGUUUCCCUAGACGCAGAUGUGGCCUGUGCAGGAACCAGGGUUGGACGAAUUCAGCGGAGACUGGUCCUCGGUGCGUGUGUCUGUCUGGUGACAGCAUGAAAAUACACGGCACCUGAGAAGGGAUUUCAGCGCCUCGAGGCUCUUUUGUAACGACAGGGGGCUGGGGUGGGGGUUGACUGCACUGUGCCCUUGGGUGAGCUGUUUCCCACAAGAGCUUGAGACGCAGCGGGGUGCCUGGAGUCAUCCUCAGGCUGGCUGGUGUGCGGUUGUUUGGUUUUGCUCCCAGAGGGGGACACUCUGGUCUGCACAGCCUCCCUUUGGGCAGAGGCCGGCCGACCGGCUGGAGGGGCGCCGUGCCCGCUGCGGACGAGCCCUGGCCCCCAGGCUCAGAGGCGGCGCAGGGAGUUGAUCCUCAGGUACCUGGAGAAGAGCACGUACAGGCGGCGGAACCAGAGGAGCUGGCUGCGGUGGCGGGACAUGGCUUUCUAGAAGAAUCAGAGGGUGGCUGUGAGCAGAGCCCUGCCUCCUCGCCUCUUGCCACCCGCCCUCAUGCCCGUGCGACAGCCGGAUCUGGCGUCUUCUUGGACCUUUAUACCUCCCUGGACUGGCCCCCCAACCUCCGCCUCCCCUCCCGGGUCCUGGCUCGGCUCUGCGAACAGCGGGAGGCGCUGCAGCAGCAGAGGGUUGGGGAGUAAAGGGCUGCAGUUAGUGCGGCCUUUGAACAAAGAGAUGGAGAAACUCGUGAGCCUCAGCGAGCAAGUGGGCUGUAAAGCUGGGAUGUGACCCUGUCUGCUUGAUUCUGCAGCCUACGCUCGUUUCUUUGGUUUUGGCCAUGUCCGCAGCAUGUGGCAGUUCCUGGGCCAGGGAU
RNAcentral lists this long non-coding RNA (1712 nucleotides) under Sus scrofa (pig). RNAcentral describes it as "lncRNA (ENSSSCG00065068655.1)". The record is from RNAcentral. Lineage: Eukaryota; Metazoa; Chordata; Mammalia; Artiodactyla; Suidae.